AAAAUGGAUAUGUUUUUUGAUAACUCAGUGCAGAUUGGAUGCGAUGUCCAAGCUGAGACGCGACCGAAAGACGCUCGGAGGACACGAACGACGGAUACGUUGGGAUACCUGACCGCACUAUAUCGGGUGACCGUUAUAGCGAACCUCUGUCGAGGGAAAGUAAAGGCGCGGUGCUGAUGUUAUCGCAAGCAAAGGCAUCCGUGGAGUCGCGGGGGCAAUAGACAGCCUUGUGAAUAGCGAGGCCGAAUCCAAGUUAGGGGAGACGAGUGGUGUCGCACCCAAACCUUGGAAAUACCACCAACCCCGUUUGCGGUGAUGUCAUGGAAACAUGGCUAUAAGACUCUACAGAAUCCGAGUAGCGGAAUCGCAUUGACUUGAUAUGAUGAAGAGAUGGGCUGAAUAGUGUCAAUUUGGUCAAAACUUUCUGAAUAUCCCGUGAAAGGUAGAGGUAACCAUCCCUUUGGCGGCAUUGUGCGAAUGUGUGCUGUUCUGAUAUGGGAUAGCGCAAUAAGCUUGGGCAAGAAGUGUAUGGAGGACGCUCUGUAUGCUCAGACUUGUCUACCGCAUGGCUGAAUAUGCUUGAAGAUAACUUGAGGUAAGGUGAAGACCUAUCAAACAAACGUAUUCAUU
RNAcentral lists this non-coding RNA (630 nucleotides) under unclassified sequences. RNAcentral describes it as "ROOL RNA". It matches the Rfam family "ROOL RNA". Rfam says of the family: Firmicutes, Fusobacteria (1 example), Tenericutes (1 example). The record is from Rfam by way of RNAcentral.